RNAcentral lists this ribosomal RNA (1665 nucleotides) under marine sediment metagenome. Its description in RNAcentral is "bacterial LSU rRNA". It matches the Rfam family "Archaeal large subunit ribosomal RNA", at positions 1268 to 2987 of the family's 2987-position model. The record is from RNAcentral.
AUGGGGAGCGGCCGAGCAUGGGGGUGCGGGGAGGGGGGAGGGCGGGGAGGGGAGCGGGCAGAAGCGAGGUCGUAAGGUCUCGUGGACCGUGUACAUAUGAGAAUCCAGGGAAGAGUAGCAGCAUAGUGUGGUGAGAAUCCGCACCACCGAAGGGGUAAGGGUUCCUCGGCAAUGUUUUUCAGCCGAGGGUUAGCCGGUCCUAAGGGCAUUCUUAACCGAAAUGUCCGAAUGGGAAAUGCGUUAAUAUUCGUAUGCCCCUCUACAAAAUAUGGUGACGGCUCGGGCUAGUUCGUGCAUUCCUGUCAUGGGAUGUCGAAGCGUUCGAUAACCGAUCGGAGAACCGUCAUGGUGAGAAGAUCGGGAAGGCGUGAGCAAAAGACGAAUGAUGCCUGGGUCCCAUGAAAAGCCGUAGAGGUGACCGUACCUAGAACUGACACAGGUACCCAAGGUGAGUAGCCUAAGGUGUGACGGGCAAAGUACCGCGAAGGAACUCGGCAAAAUCGCUCUGUAACUUCGGGAGAAGGAGUGCCAGCUUAGAGAUAAGCUGGUCGCAGUGACCAGAGGACUCCGACUGUUUAAUAAAAACAUAGGCGACUGCUAGAUCGAAAGGUUGUGUAUAGUCGCUGAAUCCUGCUCAGUGCUGGUAUCUGAAAUCGGGUUACAACCUGACGAAGGACCAGUAAACAGCGGGGGUAACUAUGACCCUCUUAAGGUAGCGUAAUACCUUGUCGCUUAAUUGGCGACUUGCAUGAAUGGUCUAACGAGAGUCCUACUGUCCCCGCGGUUGGUCCGGCGAAAUUGACUUUACUGGCGCACAGUCCAGUACCUUCAGCCUGCAAGCGAAGCCCCCGUAGAGCUUUACUGCAGCCUGUCGGUGUGUAGUGGCACUCCACGUGCUGCGUAGACGGGAGACAUCGAUCCAUCAGGCGCCAGCCUGGUGGGGAGUCAAACAGAGAGACACCGUCCUUGAAGUGCAACUACACUCACUCUUUACGAGGACACCGGUAGGUGGGCAGUUUGGGUGGGGCGCCACGCGCUCGAAAAAAUAACAAGCGUGCCCAAAGGUCAGCUUAGGUGGUUCAGUCUCCACCGUGAAAUGUAAGGGUAAAAGCUGGCUUGACGUGGAUCGGCAAAAUAACGAUCGACGAUGCGAAAGCAGGGCCUAUCGAACCAAUGUACCUCAUUUCUGGGGGUCAUUGAUAACAGAAAAGUUACCUCGGGGAUAAUUGAGUUGUCACCAGCAAGAGUCCAUAUCGACCUGGUGGCUUGCUACUUCGAUGUCGUCUCUUCCUAUCCUGGGUCCGCAGCAGGACCCAAGGGUGGGGUUGUUCGCCAAUUAAAAGGGAGCGGGGGAUUGGUUUGGACCGUCGUGAGACAGGUUGGUUGCUUUGUGGCUGAAGCGCGUAAGAUACCUGACGGGAAGGGGCUCUUAGUACGAGAGGAACGGAGUCUCGGUGCCACUAGUCUACCAGUUGUCUGCUAAGGCAAUGCUGGGUAGCCACGCACCAAUGGAUAAGAGCUGAAAGCAUCUAAGCUCGAAGUCAACCUGAAGACGAGGUAUCUCAGAGCUCCGAUAAAAGAUCGGUUUGAUAGACUGCGGGUGUAAGCACCAAGGUUCGCCGAGGUGUGUAGCCCAGCAGCACUAAUCGCUCGAGCAUCUACAUU